Molecule: long non-coding RNA, 306 nt
Filed under: Mytilus galloprovincialis (Mediterranean mussel)
Lineage: Eukaryota; Metazoa; Mollusca; Bivalvia; Mytilida; Mytilidae
Source: RNAcentral
CAUUUAUCUAAAUAUUAUCUACUGGUUUGCACAGCGUGGCCACAGGCCAUCGUCUCAAAAAAAAAUUCCUAUAUAUCUUAAGGAUUUUUUUUUGAGACGAAAGCCUGUGAGCGUGGCCUAUAUAAUUAGUUACAUGAUGUGUUAGUAACCUAAUACGAUAUAUAUGUCUCUUCAUUGAUGUUGAGAAUUGAAACGGUGGUUGGAAUGCCAUAUAAUUUACCUAAAUUUAGGAUAGACUCUUUAAUUACGGAGAGUCGAAAUAGGAUGAACGGAUUAUAUAAACCCGAAGGUAAAUGAUAAUUCAAG